This 219-nucleotide long non-coding RNA is filed under the name Ictidomys tridecemlineatus (thirteen-lined ground squirrel). Its description in RNAcentral is "lncRNA (ENSSTOG00000031157.1)". The record is from RNAcentral. Lineage: Eukaryota; Metazoa; Chordata; Mammalia; Rodentia; Sciuridae.
GAAAAUGUUGAUAGGAACCCCCAGCUAUGGAAGGCCUGCUGUACAAAAAUUGUGGUCAUAUGAGGACUGGCCUCGACCAACUGCUCAGGUCUUGGCUCCUGGAACAUCCCACCCCACACCUUGAGUUGUGACCCCCCUCGUGAAAUCUCCGUGUCCUGAGCAUGCCAGGUACUGCCUCACCCAUCCAUCUUUGCCCAGGGGACUUCUCUGUCUGUAUCU